UUUUUUUUCUUUUUUCUCUUUUGACAUUUUCUCGCAAUCAAACUAGAUUAAAACCAAAAAAGUGGUGUUAGGUAUGCGGAAAUUCUGAUACUAAUUUGUUGGAGUAAUAGAGUUAAAAGGGAGACACAAUUAUAAAAUGAGAUAAAAUUUGGGAGAAUUAAAUUAUACUUCACCACUCUCUCCUAUUCAAAUAUCAUAUAAUCUCUUAUUUAUAGAUACUUACAUUUAACAAAAUAGAAAUUUUCUAAUUUGACAACUCAAAAAUAAAAACUGAAAUAAUGAGCCAAAAUAAAACAUUUCUCCCUUGACUUUUAGAGACUAAAUUUAAUUAUAAUAUUUUUAAAAUUUUUGGAUCAAGUUUAAAUUUCCAACUUGUCUCCUAAACUUGAUCCGUGACUUCAAGUAGUAUCAUCAACCUUCUAAAAUCUCCAAAAUUGUAAAGGUUGGUAAAAAUAUCAGCAAUUUAAUCUUGAGAUUUUGAAAAUUUUAAUUGCACUUCCUUCUUCAAAUGUGUUCUCUAAUCAAAAGAAGAUGGACGAAUAAUUUGAUUUUCACAAUAUUUUUUAAAUUCUUUUGAUGUGAAUUCACCUUUUUCUAUCGAUCUCAUUGCCUUUAUAUCAUGGACACUUACCUUUUAAAUAAGUCCUUUAAAUUUCUUGAAAACACUAAAUACUCAUAUUUUUCCUUCAAAAAAUGCACCCAAAUUUUUCUACUAAAAUCAUCAAGUAAAAAAUAUUUAUUCUUGCUAAAUAUUUAUUUUUUAAUCACACAAACAUCAUUUAAACUCUCACUAAUUCUUUUUAAUAAAAUUCAUAAUAGUCAAUACUCUAGAAAAAUAAUCAAAAGACUGAUUCCAAUUCUUUCAUAUUCAAAUUUUCAAAUUCUCUUUCAAGAGUUUGAAGACGAACUUUUCUUACCUUAUCAAUUCCCUUUUGUGUAUUUUGUAAUAUAUCUCAUACUUCCAUGGAGGUGGUUGCAUUUGAAAUAUUCUCAAAAGUACCUUCAUCCAUUAGAUGAUGGUGAGAACUUUCUUGUUUCGCUACCUCAUAUCUUUCAAAAAAUCCCUUUGAUUUAGGGUCAAAGUGAUUUCAUGUUGGCUCCUUCUAGCCUUUCUUAAACAUAUAAUAAGGAUAAAAAUACUACUUUAAAUUAAAAAUCAAGUUCAAAGGAGGCAAGUUCGGAAGUAAAAUUGAUGUUAGAAAGUUUCCAAAUUUUAGAUUUGAUUUGAUAUGAUUAAAUAUGAAUAUGGGGUUUGUGUAAUAGUUGAACAAGACAAAUAGAAGACAAUAAAAUUUCAUUAAUUUUUCUCAAUUUGUUAUUUAUCUUUAUGAAAUUAUGUAAUUGUUCUUGUGUUUUCAGCCCUCUUACUCCAACAAGAUCACCAGGGGUGCCCUGUACGGGUUGAAGGUGUUCAGAUAAGGAAGUGAAGAUGGAUGUGAAGAAUGAGUUUAUCUUAUUCAAACCAGAGGACAUGGGCCAGGUUAGUUGUAGAUUUACCAUCCUGGUCACUAAACUGAUCAGGAAGACAUGAAUGAGUUCCAUUGAGAAUACCCAGCAGAUCAUAACCAACUAGCAAGCAAUCAAAUUGAGGUUUGUAAGAUGGGUAGUUGGAAGAAGUUGCAGGAAGCAACAAGAUGGAAUUGGGAGCUAGCCAGACUUUCUUCGGACAUGGUGAAUGAAAGGGAAAAAGGAAGAUGCAAGCCUGUUGGAGCUGUACAAAUCUCAUACCAUAAGAAGAAAUAAGCAAAGAGAUUUUGUGUAUUGUAUUAUGAAUUCACUAACUUGCUUUAUCCAAUACAUACAAAAUGGUGGAAAAACAUUUACAGAAAUAAUUACAAGUCAACCUAAAAUCUAAAAGAAUGAUUCAUAACAUACAACUGUAUUACAAUUGAUCAUCACCCUCCUCGAGAAUGACUAGUAUCAAGGUGGUCAUGAUUGAGCUUUGUUUUAGUAAUUUGCUUCUUGGCUUAUAACAACUACUGAAUAAAUCUGAAAAUUCGUAAAUUGCUCCUAAAGCGCUCAAUGGUCUUAAAAAAAAAUUGAGAAUCUAACAUGGACCAUGGUCAUCCAUAUUCUUUUGGAAGAAAGCUCCAAAUAAUGAGGACAAUCAGUACUUCAGAUGUGAAGUUCCAUGUCAACUGGCGAAAAUAAACUAGGCCCAAGAAGACUGACAUGCAAAGGAAGUUGUUCAUGCUCAUUGCCCCAUAAAUCUGCAGCAAACAAUUCAUAUACAGUUAUGAAUUAGAACAUCAUGACAGGAACCCAAAAUUCACUAAGUUAAGAUAGAUAACUAACAUCAACCCAAGCAAACCUUUGAAAAUGUUAAAGAAGCAAUUCUCAACUUCUUUUGGCUGGCAAAGUUUUGGGCUGACACUGCCUCACUGAAGCUAGCGAAAGGCAGAACAAGAAAUGAGACAAAGAAAGAAGGAAUGUUAGUAGCAGUGGAGAACUUGCCUACAGCAUUGACAAGAGGACCAGCAAAUGUAGCAGCUAUCAGAGAUCCCAAAAGCAACAUCACUACUGCUUUACAGGCACUCCAUUUGGGGCUUUCAAUCUUCACAACCUCAUCACUCUGAAUACCCAGCUGUUCAUGCUCUUUGUUUGACACCUGCUUAUGCAUUUUAAAGAUGUCAUCACACCAACAUCGAGAACAUAAUUAAUCAUGACUGAACCUAGAAUAACAUGGCAUUGACAUACCAAAUUGAAGUGGUCUACAACUAGUCUUGUCUUCAUAUGAUUGUAACUGGAACAAACUGCAGAAUUCUUAGCCUUAUUAAGCCAUUUUGAGAUUCCUUUGGUAAAUGCCUCUAUAUUAAUCUUAGCAUCCCCACAAGCAUGGACAUCUCUCAUAAUAUCUCCAACAGUAUCAUCAAUAUCUGAAUCUUUGUCUUUAAUCUGGAUUCCUGUUAUCAGUGCUCUUAUCUCACUAGUCGAGAGCAACUGAUCUGAAUUCCCAUCAAUCAUCUUAAAUAGCCUGUCAUUGUAUCCAUGAAAAAGUGCAUGCAUUGAGAAUCAGGCCUGGUCUCAUAAGUUAGUAAGAAUUUUGUCAACUAUUUUACCAUUGGUGUUGCCUCAUGACGUUGAUUUUUUAUAAUCUAACUUGGAAUAGCCUACAACUAAUAAGGGAAAGAAGUUGAAACUAAAACAAAGACUAACAUUCUGAUCACUUCCAUAUCAGGUUCACCAUUAGUUGUCAAAAGCCUCUCCAAUGGACUGUAUUUCAAUUGUUUUACAAUUCUUGAUGUCAUAUGCAUCUGCUUUGCAUAUGCAAGCUUUCUUCUCAGAAUCGAAGGGUGAAAGACCUGCAACGACAUUUGAUUGGAAAAUCAUGAAGAAGAAGCUAGCAUAAAAAAGAGUUAUGAAAAUAAAAUUAUUUUAACAAUUAGUAACGUCUGAGUACUGAGUGGACAAAUACCUGAUGAAGGCAAUAUGCAAGCAAUAAAGAAACAGAGAUAAUGAGUGAAAUAAAGAUCGCGAAGCAAAUUUGUGAAGAUGUGUGGAGAACUUGUGCUAGUUGGACUAUUAUGAAUGGCAUAACAGAUAUAACCAUGAUCCUAGCAGUAUAGCUAGCCCUGAUAUCAGUACUGAUAGCUGAACCUGAAAAUAUCGAUAAAGGAACAUGCAUAAUGUGUCAGGAUAACAAUCAGACUGAACAACAUUUUUCUUGUAAAAUGUUAGCUAGAAUCAAUGGUUCACUUUAUGUACAUUGAUAAGUGAAUAGCUAAAUUGUUUUACUCACUGCACAACAAACUUCAUAUGAAUUAUUUAAUUUGGAUAAUGAAGAAAAAGAACAGUUGAAUUCAUUGUCAACAAUUAGAAUCAAUCUGUGUUUAAAAGUUGCUACUUGGAAUAGUCUUUCAUGAAUUCUUGACACAAGCAGAGACUUUAUAACUGAAGAGUAUAGGGAAGUACCAGCUAAGCUGAAUCCUCUGGCAGUUUCCUCUGAAGCUUUUUCCCUUGAGUUUUCAGGGUCACAUUUAUCAACUAUGAUGCAGCAUCCUCCUAGCAAUGUUAGCAGGAUGGCAGUUGAUCCAGUUAGCAAACCGAGCCCAGCGGACACCUGAUUUUGAGCAGUUUCUCCGUUUCCACAUAGUCUGGAUGCUUCACAAAUGCAAAUAACAAAAUAUUCCGUGAGCGUGUAGAAAAAUUAGAUUGCCUGCAGGUAGGCAGUGGAUCUAUACAAGAACACACUAUCAAGUCAAUCACAGUAGAACAUAAAAAUGUGACACUUAAAUACUAGGAAGCCACAGACUAAUAAAGGCUCAUAAUUGGCAUCAGCAACUAUGAAUCAGCUGCAAUUGCCCAUCCAAUGGCUCACUAAACUCAAGAGACCCAUUUGCCACUGAGUAGGAACUCCUGAACUAGUUACAUAAAUUCUCUCUCUAUUUGUGGGUUUCCAAGUAAUCAAUCUUGUGGAUUUUGUCUUCUGCAUCCAAUUGGGUUCUGUACUCACUCGUUUCAGUCACUCCUUUGCCCUGUCCAAUCCUCAUUUUGGUCAUUCUUGGCAAUGGCAAUGCCAUAAACUCUUCCAGGUUUCCUUAUUUCCCACUAGGAUAUGCUUCUCCUUAGAAGUCCUCAAUCGAGCAUUUCAUCAAGUAGUCUAAAUAAGUUUCAGUUUCUGUACUAUGUUUCUUUUAGUACUUCUCUGCAGUUCCAACUGAGGGGAUGGCACAAUUAGCAUUCCUCAAUUCUUUUCUUUCCCUUUCCUUUAUCCUUACUUUUUUUUUUCUAAGUUGAUUCUAUUGUCCAAAAUGAUAGAAUAAAUGUGGACCGACAGUUUAUUAAACAUUGUCCAGGAUUAAGCUAUCUUUUAACAUGCAAUUUCUGAUUUAAUCUUGAGUAUGGGCCACCUAAUGUGUAGAACCCAAUGUCAUCACGGGCUUUAGAUGAUGGGCCUAAGGCCCGUGAGGCUCAAUAACCAAUGGGUAUGGUCCCUAAGGCAGGAGGGUAUGGUCCCUAAGGCAGGAGGGUAUAAAAGGCUUAGGCUUGUGUCUUUUGGGAUAAUCACAUCCUUCUGAAAGAACAGAACCGCUCUCUCUCCCGCUCCCAUUGCCUGAGAGAAUCUAGAGAAAGGUGGUGCCCUCCAUCAGCCUUAGAAGAUCGAUACCUCUUCAUCAAAAGCGUCAAAAUGGAUUCAUUCAGGUUGGUUCCUAUCUAAAGAUUGAUUGUUGAAUAUAUUCUGUAUGUGUGUUUUGGUGUCAAUGGAGAAGACAUGAAGUUACAACACAAAACACUAUGUAAUCUACCACAUUUGAUUAAUGCGUCUGUGUGCUGGCACUUAAUAAAGCAUAUCCAACACAAUCAUUGAGUAGGAAAAAGCAAAGGAAAGUUUUGUUGCAGUUUUCACACUAGGCCCAAAGGAAAAGGACACCAACUCAAAACUCAAGCUUCCCACUCAUUGAUUAUCGGAAUGGCAAAGUAAGGGAUAUGAACCUUACACCACAAGUCUCUUUGAUAUUCACAAAAUAUAUACAUAUGCAACAAUUUGAUCUUCUGACAUCUAGGAAACUUAUGCCAACUGUAUGGUGGACGUUUACAGAAUAUUCUGCAUUUUUUUUUCCUCACUGAUUGGGAACUCAAGUCAAUGACAUUAGGUUCAGAAAAGCAGGAACUGCUAAAGCAAGUGGGAGAAAAAACUAUAUAUUAAAAUGUUGAAACUAUAGUACACAGAAAAUGUGCCUGAAAUGAAUGAAUAGUAUCUCGGGAACUUCAGAUUCAGAAAGUUAUGACUCUUUAUCGUUGAGGCUGAAUGAGAGUGAACCAUAAAUCCUAAAAAUAUGAUGAGUUUCAAGCUUACCAAUGUUGAUAAUAGCAUCAAGAAGCGAGCUGAGCAGAGGCAGAAAAACAGCACCAGCAAUUCCAGGACUAAGAAGUUCCACCAGAAUCUCACUUCCAUCAUAUAAAAGCUUGGCUGCAAACAACAUCAAGGAAACGUAUACAAGGAUAAGGAGUAUGUUUCCAGGCACAGUGGCGGUGCAUGGCAUGAACCCAUAUGUCUGGUUACAGCUAUAUGACGAAGCCCACUCCUCAAAAACAAUAAAAGCUGGCUGCUGAACCUCUCCAUCCCCAUCAGAGACCAGCCCAGAGGAGGAAGAGUUAUUGGCUGCAACACGUCCACAACUUCGGGGGCUUACCAUCAUGAGAAGAAGCAUGGCUAGAAGAAAGAGUUCAUGUUUCUUUGCCAUGCCCGGGCUUGGCCUCAUGAUGAGAGGCUAAUGUGUCCUAUAUAUAUUACUACUCUUGUCAUUAUUGCCUUAGAUUGCUCAUCUUUGACGCUGAAAAGUUGUCUCAGGUGGUUGCAGCUUACCCACUUAAUUGAUUAAAUUAUUGGUGCGUGUACAACUCAUUUGCUUUUUCUCCGUGAAUACAAAUCCAAUGGCGGAUCCUACUGCAUUAUGAAAUUUUAUUUUUUAAUAUUUUCCCAAUGAUACCAUUAAUGUACACUUUUAAUUGUCAUUGUUUUGUACUUAAGUAUAUAGUAUUUUAAUAUAUGUUAAUUAAACCACAUAAAUACGAGUAAAAAAUAAAUAAGAAAAAAAGACAAGAUUUUUAAUAUGGUUCAACGAUUAAUGUGAUCAAUAUGUGCAUAGAAUGCAUCAAUACUCAAAAAUCCACCGGUAAAAAAGAUUGAGUAGAGUUACAAUGGUAUAACUCUCGAAAAACAUCUCUUAAUUGUGAUUGCACACUCUAAAAACAAAACCCUAACAUAAAAGGGUAAAAUAUAUAAUAGAAACAAACUCGUCAAUCAUUAAUUAAAAAAAAAAAAAAAAAACCUUUAAGGGGCUUUGUUUAACCCUCAUAAACUGACUAGAUAGUUUGACCCCGACAAACUCAACGGAGAGCUUAACCCUCACAAGCUGAUCAGACAACUUGAUCCUCGACAUUUUUAGUGAAGUGCAACAAAAUCGAUUCAGGUUUCACAAUCCAAUAAUAAAUUUAUAUUUUUUCAAUGAUCCAUAUUUUAUCCUGUAUUUUAGAUAUUAAUUCGAUAUAUUUUAAUAUUUUUUGUCUAAUGGUAUAGUUGUGAUUUCCUUUUUUCCAAAAAAAAAAAAAAAAGAACUGUUGAUUCUAGCUUGCACCUAGUUGGAAGCAAUGCAAAAUAACAGUUCAUCCCAUUCAAUAUUAUUGCUAAUAUAAUAAUGUUACAACCAUGUGGUUUCUAACAACUUAGUAAAUAUUAUAGUAUGAGUUGGACUCGUACUUCUAAAGUGAUCGAUUUGACGACCUAGAAAUUCACGUUUGGUUAUCUUCAUAUUCAAAUUUGUCCAUGACACCAUGAUUUUAGCUGAUACGUUAUCUUACCUUCAAAAUAUAUAUAUUUUUUCGUUUUCCAAAUCAUCUUCUCAAGGAACGAAGCUUAUGGUCAAUAUAGUGCACCAAACAACAUAAAUCUUUAGGUUUAUGGGGGUAAGUGGUUCUUAUCACCAACAUUUUGAGUAAUUUAAAGUAAUAAUGAAAAAUAAGUGAAGAAUAUUUGAAUGAUGUAGCAAAAUUUUUGUUAAAUAUAUCUAUUUUUUUUAACUAAAAUUGUAAAUUAUUUAAUUAAAAUUAUAAAAUUUAUAAAAUAAGUUUACGUAUAUAACAAGAUUUUUUUUUAUCAAAUAACCUUAAUAAUGUUUUUUUUUAUAAAACAUUAAUAUUACAUAAUAACGAGAAUAGACAAAAAAAAAAAAAAAAUCAAAAUAAGAAUACAUAAAUUUAUUUAAAAAAAUCCGAAAAAAAUCAUAAGUAGAGAAAAAUAAAAUUUACUAUAUCAAAAGAUUAAUACAAUGGAGGAGAGUUGUAAGACCUAUUGACCGAUCCAUCCACUAUCACUUUAGACCUCUCAAAAAAUCUCAUAAUUAUAGUUUAAUCACAUAUUUCACAUCACAAGUUUUUUGAAUCAAAUUACAUAAAAUUUAGGUCAUCAAAAACUAACAAUUAAUAUAUAUAUAUAUAUAUAUAUGUUUUUUGAUGUUUUUUACACAAAUAAAUGUAAAAUAUUAAAUAAUAAUACGACUUUUGUCGUAAAAAUUUAAAUACAACCGAUAAAGGGACAUGUGAAGAGCUUUUUUUUUUUUUUUUUUUUGUUUAUUAAGAUGUGAAUAGAAGAAUUGAGUGUAGCACGUGCUGAAAUUAAAUGAACCGUCCCCGGGUAGCGUUGCUCGAGAUGGGUUUUUGUUUUUCAAUCUUUCAGUUGACCAGACCACCUCCGUGACUUGGGAGGAGACACAUUUGUAUUUUUAUAUUUAUUUGUUUUCUUUUUUUAAAUUGCCUUGUAUGCAUUCCCUCCUUGGUAGCCCCCGUUUUUGAGUGAGAUGAUGCAUGGCACGACCCUCUUUGCAUUUUGCAAGGUGGCGUCCACUUCUUAAUUGUUGUUUACUUAUUUUUAAUUAUUUAUUUAUUUUUUUCCUAAGUGAAACUUAGACAUAUAAACCAAAUUAUUUCUUUCCUUUUUAUUUUGUGUUAUUACUAUAAAUAAUACCUUAUCCCAUAUUAAAAGUAAUUUGGAUUAUUAGGAGUAUAACGUACCUUCUACUGCAACGCACAUUAAAAUAUUUGGGGAAUAGAAUACACUUAUUCUACAUUCCAUAAUUUAUUAUUAUUAUUUCAUAAAUAUUAAAUCAUGCAAAUUUUGUUAUGAGAAGUUGAGUAUUCCUCUAUUUUUUUCUUCCUCCUCAUAAGUUCUCCCUUUUCAUUGAAACAUGAAAAUAUAUAUAAAAAAAAAAACAAUAAUAUAACAAUUGAAACAAAAUGAAAAAAGAGUUGGUCUAAUUUGGUGAAACAUAUGGUAAUAUGUUAUCUUAAAACUGUUAUCACCUCCCUACAUGCAGUGUUAACAAAUGGUAGCCGCUCUAAAAUACAACCUCAACCAUUGGCUAAAACUAUGGGAACCUAUCCAUAAUUCUAUUGUCUAAAAACUAUGAAAAACUCAAAAGAAGAUAUCUUUAUAAUAUUAUUUUUUUCCAUAAAAAUGAAAGGUCUUUUUAAUAAUAAAAAUAUGAUCAUUGUUUGAGUAUUAGUAAUUACCUUAGAAUAGUCAACUCCAUGAAUCUCACAAAUAUCAAUAAAACUCAUCAAAUCCCACACAAGAUUGGAAAAAUAAAAGUCACUUAUUGUCUUUAACCUUUACAAUAAUAAAAGGUAUGAUACCAAGAUUUUAACCUCUUUUUUAUUUUAUUUUUUUGUAAAAGAAAGUUUUAACUUUUAUAUUUUUGAGUAAAAUCUUACAUUCCUCCACAAGGUUUAAAACUUCAAAAUAAUAAUGAAAAUAAGUAAAUAAAUUAAUGGACAACGUUAUACUAUACAAUAUCUAUAGGUAUUUUUUGGACUUGAACUUACACUUAGUAUUAACAAUUUCCAUUUGAGGAUCCAUAGUGAAUUAUGUCUUGAACUACGUCCUUAAGCCAAACUUUAGCAUGACACACACAUAGUAUUGAUAUGAAACUUGAUUCUAAGAGAGUUAGUGAAUGUUAUUAAUGGUCAUGCACUAGUAUCUUGAUUCUCAUGAGAGUUACUAAGGAAUAACCCUACUCCCAUAGUCAUGGUCAUAGGAUGACUCUCAUUUAAGUGAGUCCUCCAAGGGUACAUAUGACUUGUACCUCAUAGAAUUUUUUAUCUUGGACCCAUUUAGGGAAAUACUCUUCCAAACAUCACAUCAAAAGCACUAUCACCAUAGUGAUGUAAAUUAGACUCUCUCCUGAAAAAUAGUGCUAUAAAGUUACGUAUUACAAAUUAUUUCUAUCCAUUUAACCUUCUUCAUGAUAUCUCCGAUCACAAAUGUUAAGUUACCAUUGGAGGUGACUCCUUUAAGGCCUUCAACCCAUCCCCCUUGAUGAUUCUAAGAUAGCAUUUCUAGAAAGACCCUUGGUCAACUAAUUGACAAAAUUCUUUCAGAUCUAAAAUCCAAGGAUGUCGAAUAGUAAGUUUUUAAUGCAUUCUGCCUCAAUGUAUAUUAUAUCAAGCGCAAUUAACUUAGAUUUCAUUGCUUCUUGAUAUUAUAGUUUGUUUUAAAUCCCUAAGAAAUAACAACACCUCUUAGAAGGAUAUUAUAUCUAAUAGUGAAUUUGACAUCUAAAUUUUCAAUUAUCCAAUUUACAUCACUAUAUCCUUCCACUACAUUAAGGAAUCCUUCGUAACAUAAAGAGUAAUCUAAACUUUCUCUAAGAUACUUAAAAACUCUUUAAAGCAACCCAAUUUUCCUUGCUAGGAUUAUGAUUAUACCUACUUAGUCUCCCCGCUACAUAUGUUAUACCAUUGUUAGUCUAGUUAUUUGAAAUAUACAAUAAAGACCCUAUUAUUUGAGAAUCAUUAAUUGUUGUAUUGCUCUCCAACAUUUUUCUUCAAAUGCAUAUGGGAAUCAUAGGGUGUGGAUAUUGGUUUACUAUCAAAGUAAUUAAAUUUUCUUAAUAUUUUUUCAAUGGCACUUCAUUGAUCCAAAUUUGUACCCUCAACUGUUCUUAAAAGUCUCAUUCCUAAUAUUAUGUAUCUCUCCUAAAUCCUUCGUCUCAAAGUUCAUAGAUAAAUAAUCUUUCAUGUCAUUCACUAUUCUAUACUACUUCCAAAAAUUAGAAUAUCACCUACGUAAAAACAAAGUAUGUUACAUUCUUUUAGAUCCAUUUUAUAAUAAAUACAUUUAUCAUAAUCAUUAAUCUUAAACCUAAAAUCCAAUAUGACUUUAUCAAACUUUUUAUGUCACUAUUUUAAAGCUUGCUUAAGACCAAUAUAAUGACUUGACCGUUUUCAAGAAUAGGGUGACUUCACUAAUUUCUAUUUAAUUUCUCUCUUAAUGUUGUUUAUGAUUCCUCUAGUUUAUGGGUGGGCUAAAUUUAUAUAUUACCUAAUUUUUAUUUAUUCCACCUCAUCAAAAAUUCAUGUUGGUUAGCCUUUUAUUCAUUCAAAAUCAUCAAAGAUUAUAUAGGUUAUCCUUUCAUUCAUUCCAACUCAUUAAGGAUGCACAUAGUUGCACUCUUUAUUUUUCUUCUACCUCUCCAUACCAUUAUAUACAAUUAUAUGAUUAUAUUUUUAUUUUUGUAAAUAGUAGAAGAAAAAGCAAGGAUGUCUCUUCCAAUCUUGUGAAAUAAUAAAUGUUAUAAAGUUAAAUUUUGGAUGCAUAAAAAUAGAAAGUUAAUUAAGUAUUAUUAAGCAAUCUUACUUUUUACCUUAAUCCAUGACACAUAAUACGAAAUUGAUUGAUAAAUCAACUCAAAUUCAUAUUUCACAUCAUGGAUAAAGGUAAAACAUAAUACCAAUUAAUUAAUUUUUUAUUUUAUCAUUUUUCUAAUCCAAGUCUCUAAUUGGUUGCCUUGAUUAAUUAGAUCAUCUACCAAGCUUUUUAUAUACAUUUCCAAAGAAAUAAGUCUAUAAUCAAUAAACAUAAUCAUACACGACCAUAAUUAAUACAAAUGCUAACAGUAAUAGGUGAAGAGAGAUGUCCAUCACUUGGGGAGUGAAAAAAGGUAUGAUGUUUGAAAGGGCCGAGCAGGGUUAUCAAUUAGGGAUGACAAUAGGGCAGAUUCGGAAUGGGUCGCCCCCAUCCCAACCCCGUCUCGUUUAUUCAAAAUUAUUUUCAUCCUCAUCCCAUUUAAAAAAUUAAACAGGACGAGACGAGUAUGAUAAAUUCUCAUACCCGUCCCACUUUGCCCCGUUUAACUAUAUUUUUUGAAUUUUAAUUUUUUUUAAAUUACUUUUAAAAUUUUUAAUUAUAUUAAAAUAAUUAUAUUUUAUAAAUAAUUAAAUUAUUAUAUUUUUUAUAACUUAUUUUAUUAAAAAUAUUUUUUUAUUAUUUAUAUAUUAAAAAUAGUAAAAUAAAAAUUAAAUUAAAUUAAUUUUAAAAUUUAAAUUAAAUUAAUUUUAUAUAUAAUCGGGACGGGACUUGGUAAUAUCCGAACCCGGCUCCAGGUUUAAAAAAAAAUUAUCAAACCCGUUUAUUAAAAUUGAAUCUCGUCCCACUAAAAGCGAGACAAACAGUACCUGAAAGAACCGGUCCACUGCCAUCCCUGUUAUCAAUUAGAGGCUUACUCAUUUUUAAACCAUUGGCUGAAGAGUAAAGGUCUCCCCACACAUGCCUGUUAUUAUCAAAACUAGAGUCGAACAAACUGACUAGUCAAAACAGAAAAGAGAUGAUGAGAGAUGAUUUUUGGGGAAGGGUACUAUCAAGUCAAUUAUAGAUGCCAAUUAUCAAGACAAGCUCUGACACUAACUAGUGCACAUGGUGAAUUCUAUGCUAGGCUACCGUAUAAAUGAUCAUUAUUGCUUUGCAUGUGAAGUAGAUGUAACAUCUAGUGACAUCCUUCUGCAACAGGGAGAUCCUUUAACAAGCACUUAACAAGACAUCAAUUGAGCUUUAGAGGAUAGGAUGGGAAGAAUACUUUUUUUUUUUUUUUUUUAUUUUAUCUCAAGAGGCAUAUCAGAUGAUAUUGUCUUAUUUGUUUAUCCUCUUAUACCUUAAUCUCAUUUAUUUGUAUCAUUUAUUUAACGAUCGAGAUCUUAUAUAUCGUAUAUAUUUCAAGACCCAAAUCUUUUGUUCGAGAGGUACCACUUUGGUAUCUUAGCAUUUUCCUUGAAGGAUGGAUAGUUGGAAGGAGUCAAUUUCAAUGGAAGCUGUGAAAUAAUAUGCUUAGAAAAGAUGAGGUUGGGUAAAUUAGUAAUAGUUUCAGGCAAAGCAACAAUAAGAGACAUGGUGAAUGAAAGAGAAAAAGAAGAUACUUGUUGGAGCUUCACAGUCUGAUUCCAUAACAGCAAAAAAAAAAACAAAGAAAAUUUUGAAUUGUAUUAUGAUUCACUAAUUUGAUGUCACAGAUGUGUACAGGAUGCUAGAAAUUAAUUUACAGUAAUAAUCACUAGUCAACCUAAAAUCUAGACAGUCUUUUUUUUUUUUGGUUAUCCAUAUUCUUUUGGGAGAAAGCUCCAAAUAAUGAGUAUAAUCAGCACCUCAGAUGUGAAGUUCCAUGUUAAAUGGCGAAAAUAAAGCAGGCCUAAGAAGACUGACAGGCAAAGGAGGUUGUUCAUGUUUACUGCCCCAUAAAUCUGCACCAAACAAUUCAUAUAGUGUUAUUGGAUUAGAAUAACACAACAGCAACACAAAAUUCACUAAGAUAGAGAAAAGCAGCAACGAAGUAGUCUAACAUCAACUUCUAUACAUAUAAAUUUGUAGGAGAAGAAAACCUCUGAAACUGUUAAAGGAGCAAUCCUCAAUUUCUUUUGGCUGGCAAAGAUUAGAGCAGACACUGCUUCACUUGAGCUAGCAAAAGGCAGAACAAUGAAUGAGACAAAGAAAGGAGGAAUGUUUGUAGCAGAGUAGAAGUUGCCAACAGCAUUGACAAGAGGAUCGACAAAUGUAGCAGCGAUAAGAGUUCCCAACAGCAAUAUAAACACUCCUUUGAAGGCACUCCAUUUGGGAUUUUCAAUCUUCUCAGCCGUAUAAAACUGAAUCCCCAGAAGCUCAUUCCCUUUGCUUGUGGGCUGAAUAUGCAUUUUAAAGAUGUCAGAUUACUAGUAGUGAGGACUUGAUCAGGACUAAACCGAGAAUAACAUGAAACUGACUAACAUACCGUGUUGAAGUCAUCUAUAAUUAUUCUUGUCUGGAAAUCACUGUCACUUGAACAAACUGCUGAAUGCUUAGCCUUAUCAUACCAUUUUGAGAUUCCUAUGAUAAAUGCAUCCAAGUUAAUUUUGGAAUCCCCACAUGCAUCAAAAUCUGUCAAUACUUUCCCAACAGCCUCAUCAAUAUCUGAAUCUUCUUUAAUCUGGAUUCCUGUUAUCAGUGCUCUUAACUCACUAGCCGAAAGCUGCUGAUCUGAAUCCUCUCCAAUCAUCUCAAAUAACCUGUCAUUGUAUCCAAGAAAGAGUUGAUCCAUUGAGAAUCAAGGCUGAUCAGACAAGUUAGAAAGGAAUUUGCUGAGUAUGUGAGGAUUGGAAUUGCUUCAUGCAAUUGAUGUGUUCGAAUCUAAUUUAGAAAAGCCCUAUGACUAGGGUUAAAAGGGACAUAUUCAAAGAGGAAAGAAGUUGAAAUUAUAACAAAGACUAACUUUUUUAUCACUUCUCUAUCAGGUUCCCCAUUAGCUGUUAAGAGCCUCCCCAGGGUACAACAUUUCAAAUGUUUUACAAUUCUCGACAUCAUAUGCUUAUCCUUUGCAUGUGUAAGUCUUGUUUUCAAAACUGAAGGGUGAAAGACCUGCAACAACAUUUGACUGGAAAUUUGAGAAGAUGGCAUAAGAAAAGGUUUGGCUACCAAAAAAAAAAAAGUCAACAAGAAGCAGCCUCUGAAUUUGAGUGGACAAAUACCUGAUGAAGGCAAUAUGCAAGCAAUAAAGAAAUAGAGAUAAUGAGGGAAAUCAAAACUGCUAAGCAAAUUUGUGAAGUUGUGUGGAGAACUUGUGAUAGUUGGAUUAUUAUGAAUGGCAUAACAGAUAUAACCAUGAUCCUUGCUGUAUAGCUAGCCCUGAUAUCAGUACUAGCAGCUGAACCUGAAAAUAGCAAUAAAGGAACAUGCAUUAUGUGCUAGGACAAUAAUCAAGCUAAGCAGCAAUUAACUUGUUAGAGGUAGCCAGAACUAAUAAUAUGCUUUAGCACGUAUACUGAUAUGCACAGAACUAAAAAAAUUUUACCUACUGCAUAACAAACUUCACAUGAAGAAAUACUUAAUUUGGACAGCGAAGAUAAAGAACAAUUAAAUAGUAAUAGCAUUUCAUAAUUCGAAGAUUUGAAUUAAUCCCAGUUGAAAAGUUGCUCCACAAAAUAUUCUUUCACACAUGACACUAACAGAGUCCUAAGAAGUGAAGAGGGGAGGUAAGUACCGACUAAGCUGAAUCCUCUGGCAUUUUUCUCCACAGGUUUUGCCCUCAAAUUUUCAAGAUCACACUUGCCAACUAUGAUGCAGCACCCUCCUAGCAAUGUUAGAAGCAUGGCAGUUGAUCCACCCAGCAAAGCACUCCCAGCUGACACCUGGCUUGAAGCAGUAUCCUUGUUUCCACAUAGUCUGGAUGCUUCAGAAAUGUAAAAGAGCAUUCCGUAAGUGCAUAGAAUGAUUAGAUUACACAUAGGCAUUGGAUCUUCAAGAACACAUCACCUAAACAAUUUCAGUGGAACAAAAAUGAUGAAACUUGACAAUUGGGAGGCUACAGACUAACAAAGGCUCACAACUGGCAUGAAUAACUAUGAAUCAUCUGCACUAGCCCACCCAAUGGCUCAGUAAACUAGAGGGAAAAAAACCAGAUUUAUUUUUGAGUUGAACCCUUGAACUAAUUACAAUUCUUUCUCUCUGGUUGUACAUUUUCAAGUAAACGUAUACAUUUUGUUCCUUUCAUCUGCAUCGAAAUCACUUGAAUUUGCACAUCUCAGCCACUCAUCUUCUCCAUCCAAUCCUCAUUUUGGUCAUUCUUGGCAAUGAAAAUCCUCUGAACUUUUUUCGAGGUUUUCAUCGUUUCCCAUUAGCAUUAUCCUCAAAAAGUUUCAUUCAGGCAUUUCAUCAAGCAGUUUAAACAACUUUCAGUUUCUCUACUCUUUGCUCCUUUUAGUACUUCUCUGUUUUGCAAUCAAACCAUAUCCUUCUAAUUAAGUUGAUACUAUUGUUGAAGUUUUGAUCACUACCUUAUCUACCACAAACAAAAAUACCCUGUUCACCUCCCUUUCUUUCAGUUCAUGCAUUCAAACACAAAAUCUAUAUAAACAAUUAGCCUGCAAGUACAACAGAAUCAUUAUAACAUGCAUGUGAUGCUAAGUGCACAUACCUCCCAAGCUUCAUCUGGUUGAAUUGAACUAAAAAUCAAAUUUAGUUUCCUUAAAACAUCAGAACCACAAAAGCAAAUCCAUUGUCACAAGAGGUUUUCCAAGUUCUCUAGACCUACAAAAGUCUGCAUCUAACACAUGUAGAGUGAAUUUUGUAUGUUGACACUUACACAAGGUUUGUGUAUAUAUAUGUCAUCAGCAUAAUAAUUGACUGGGGAAAAAGAAAGGAAAGUUUUGUUGUAUUUUUCAUAUCAAGGCAAAAAUAUAUAUAUAUAUAUAUAUAUAUAAAUAAAUAGAAACUGUUAGGGUCCCACCUAUUGAUAAUAGUAAUAGUAAUAUAAGGGAUAUCCCCAUACUACAAGCCUCUUUGAUGCAUAUAAAAAAUAUGCUAUGGUUGUUUUUUUUUUUUUUUUUGAUAUUUUUGGAUACUUAUGCCACCAAUUGUCUUUGUGCCACUUGUAUGGUAGAUGUAUGGAAUGUUCUGUAUUUUUUCUUUUCUCCUUGACUACUUUGCAGCUUUAUGUCCAUGGUAUUGGGUCCAGAAAAAUGGCAACUAGUGAAACAAAUAGGAGAAGAAAGAUUAAAAACAUGGCCCCUUUUUUCAUGGUCUUGAAACUAAGAACUUGAAUCAGAGAAGGUGCCCAGAUUGAAUCGAUAAUAUUUUUGGAAUUGCAAAUUCAACAAAUGGGUUGAGAUAUGGAAUGGAUGCAUACAAGUAACUUCUACUUGAUUUGGCUGAAAAUUAAAGUGACCCAUAAUUCUAAAAACAUGAUAGAUUUCAAGAGAGAUCUCAGCUUACAUCAAGCUUACCAAGGAUGAUAAUAGCAUCAGGAAGAGAGCUGAGCAGAGGUAGAAAAACUCCACCAGUAAUCCCAGGACUUAGAAGUUCCACCAGAAUCUCACUUCCAUCAUACAAAAGCCUGGCUGCAAAGAACAUCAAGUAACCAUAAACCAGGAUAAGGAAUACAUUUCCAAACACAGUGGUGGUGCAUGGCAUGACCCCAUGUGUCUGUUUACAGCUAUAUGGUGAAGGCCGGUGCUCAAAAACAACAAAAGCUGGUUGCUGAACCUCUCCACCUCCAUUAGAGACCUGUCCAGAGGAAGAGUAUUUAGGUGCAAUAUAUCGACAAUUCCCAGGGUUCACUUGCAGGAGAAGAAGCAAUUGUAGAAGAAGUAAUGCAUGUUUCUUUCCCAUGUUUGAGCUUGGCUUUGUGACCAGAACCUGAAGGGUCCCAUAUAUAUUGUAACCAUUCUUGUCCUUAUUGUCUUUAAUGGUUUUAUCUUUGAUGCUGGUCGAAAGCUUGUGUCUGGUCGUUGCGCCUUGUAGGCCCACCAGGAACUGAUGAAAUAAUUGGUGCGUGUUGAAUGGGAACUUAGAAAAUGUGAUGGGAAUUAUUUGGCAUGAGAAAAUAUUGUUAAAUAACGUAAAUUACUUUUCCGAAUAAAUACAAAUACGUGGAUGUUGAAGCAAUAUUUAAAAAAUAAAAAAUAAAUAGUGGUUCUUACUUCGUUUUAUUGAAUCAUUUCAAUUGCUUUUCCAAAUAAGAGGUGGAUGCAAUGUUUUGAUAAAAUAAAUAAAUAAAUAAAUAAUGAUUUUUCGUUACCCACACCCAUUUGAAACUCUAAAAUUAAUGUCAAAAAAUUAUUAGUUAAUCCAACAAUCACAGGAUUGUUAAAGAUAAUUUAUGGGAUAAAGAUAAUGUUAAAUGAUACCGAAAAAGUCAAUUCUACAAUUAAUUGAUUAUCAACAUAUUAAGUAUUAUAUGAUGAGCUUGAUUUAGGGUGUUGCACUUUAUUAUUCAUAUUUAAAUCAAUGCCUAUUGAAAAGUAUGAUCAAUCACAACAUGUCAUAUAUAUAAUUUAAUCUCAUGAUUUUAUAUCUCAUUCAUAAGUCAUUAAUUUAUUUGUUUUUAACUUAAUAUGAUAUUUUCCUAUUUGUUUAUACUUGAUCUCAUAUAUUUGUACUUUCAUGAUUAAAAGAUCACUAAGUACUAAUAGCCAAGCAUUUUUCUUCUUAUAUUUACGCGAGUCUUGGUUCAUUUCCACAAUUUAUGAUCAAUCUUCGAUGAUGUAGAAUUCAGGUUAUUUUAACUUGUGAGUCUUUUUCACACAGGAUUUGAAAUAUUAAGAGUAGAACCAUGAUAAUGUAAAUUAGGUAGGAAGCAAUGUGGACUACAACCAAGCCAUAUAAUGUCCAAUACGUUUCUAAAAAUUUUUAUUUUAUGCCCUUACAAGUUUUGUUUUGUUUUAUUUUCAAAGUAACGUGAUGUGUAAGCUUCAAAGUGCUCACGCUCACCUAUCUUAUUCAUAUUAUUAUUAUUAUUGCAAAAUCUUUGAAGAAGUCACUUCUCUUCAUGUUGGAGAAUUGUAGAAGAAGCCAUUGACAACAAAAUCAUGAAUGUUCUUAAGCUACAAAUUAAACUUGACACCAUUGGCACUUUUCUAAUACAAUUUCGCGGCUCCCACACAAAAAUAGUCUUAGGGGAGUGGUCAAUUAUGUGGAUACAAUGAUGAACUCAAGGAAAAUUAUUGAGACAUAUAAGAUCAAAGGUGUAUCAAAUUAAAGCCUUAGUUAUGAUUAGUGAUGUAUAAUCAACUGCAAUAUAUAAUAUUAAUUUAAUUGGAGUCAUAGAACCGAUGGUUACGAUUUGAAAAAUAUUAUAAUUAAUAUAGAGAGACAUGAUGCCAUGGGUGGUCCAAUCCUAUCGGUUAUAUAAAAUAUGAUUUGAUGAAAAGACUAAGAUGAUAUAACAUAAGAAUCUCCUUAAAUAUUUUUCAAUUUUUUAGAUAAAAUUAUAAUUUAUUGAUAGGCUCAAUUUCAAUUGUAAAGUCAAAAACAAAUUACCCAUGAAAAAAAGUGUUUUAAUCAUGACCUUUAAUACUAAUUUGUUAAAAAAGUUGUUCAUCAUAACUUUUAAGACUAAUUUGUGCAUGUGCAUGGCAAUCAAUGCUUAAAAGAAAAGUUGUCUAACCUUUUAUAAGAUUCAUGUGAGUUUGACAAGUGAAGUUGAUGCUUUUUUUUUCUAAUAUCCAUGUAUCUUGAUUAAAAAAAGUUGCUAAAAGAUUAAUGGAGUUGGUUAAGAUAAAAACAAAAAAGAAUAAACAAUUAAAAAUUAACAUAUUUCUUAAUUUACCUUUACUACUUUGUAUUUGUGGAAAAUCUUAUUCAAUAAUUUUUUAAUUCUUAGGCAUCAGAAUGGAUAAUAUUGAAUAACUAAUUUUCCUAAAAGCUUAGAAUUGCCUCAUAUCCAUACAUGAGAAUUUGGAUUCAUAUUCAAUAAAGAAUUACAAAGAGUGAGAUGAAAACAAAUGUGAAAAAUAAACAUACAAAUUACAAAUAGAUGACUUAAACCACAACCUUUUGUCAAAUCAAGUUCUGAUACUACGUUAAAUAACCAAUUUUCCUAAAAGUUUAAUCUUAUAGGAUUUAAAUUCAAUAUGCAUAUUAUGCCUCCUUAUCAAAUAAUAUAUAUUUUUUAAAAAUUAGCGGUAUGUGAUAUGACGUACAUAAAUUUCAAUGGAAGUUAUUAAGAAAAUGCAAUGAAACAUCAAAUACAAACAGGUGUAGAGCUUCAUAUAUAGUCAUCAACUGAAAAAAGAACUGAAAAUAUGGGUGUACCCUUGAUGCUCUUUUUGCUGUCUUUGAACUGAAAAUGUGUCUAUGACCAUCCCAAAUAAUUGUCAAGAACAUACACCAACACCAAGGAUAAUGGGUAAAGCAGGAAGGCCAUCAAGCUUGUCCAAAGAGGGAAAGUUGUACGGGUACCAGCAAAGACUCCCAUCAGUAUGCAUACUAUCAGAAUAAUCAGCACCUCAGAUGCGAAGUCCCAUGUCAACUGGCGAAAGUAGAUGAGACCCAAGAAGACAGACAAGCUAAGGAUGUUGCCCAUUGUCACUGACCCAUAAAUCUGCAGAAAGAAACUCAAUGGUUAUGGAGUAGGCCAUUAUUACGCCUAAUUUUAAGGUUGAGAAGAGGAGAAGCAUACCUCAGAAAAUGUUAAAGAAGCAGUCCUCAACUUCUUUCUGCUGGCAAAGAUCAUGGCUGAUACUGCUUCACUGGAGCUAGCAAAAGGAAGAACAACAAAUGAGACAAAGAAAGAAGGGAUGCUUGUAGCAGUGGAGAAGUUGUCAACAGCAUCAACAAGGGGAUCGGCAAAUAUAGCAGCAACAACUGUGCCCAAAAGCAACAUGGCUACUGCUUUAGAGGCAUUCCACUUGGGAUUUUUAAUGCUCUCCACUUCCUCCUCUUCAUUCUGAUCCUCCAACUUAUCCUGCUCCUCUCUUGUUCGCUGCAUAUGCAUUUUAAGGAUGUCAUAGUACUAAGUUACAAACAUUCGGGACUGGAUAAAGAAAAACUUGACCCUUGACCAUGACAUACCAGAUUGAAGUCAUUUAUAUAUCUUGUUGACAGGGAAUUACUGCCAUCACUGCCAGCAUGAAUUGCUGAACGCUUAGCCUUAGUAAGCCAUCUUGACAUUCCUCUGACAAACUCAUUCAUAUCAAUUUGGGAAUCCCCCGUUGUAUCAAAAUCUUUCAUUACACUUUUCACAGUUUCAUCAAUAUCCAAAUCCGCUGCAUCAAACUGGAUCCCUAUUAUCAGGGCUCUUAUAUCAGUAACAGAGAGGUACCCAUUCGAAUUUACAUCAAUUGUCUCAAAUAACCUGCCAUCAUAUCCAUGAAUUAAAGGGUAUAUUGAGAGAAUCAAGGUUGAUUAAUUUUCAAGUUUCCAGUCAUGAUUUUGUCAAGUAUUUGUGCUUCCCUUCAGGCCUGAGUAGUUUGUUAAUAAGAUCUCAUUCAGUUAAUUUAUGUGCAGAUUCCCAUAGUGCCUAAUUCAGUGAAGUGACCAAGAGACAGAUUCAACUCAAAGUGCAACAAAGACUGACUUUUUUAUGGCUUCUGUAUUAGGUUCACCGUUAUUAGUGAAGAGCCUUCCCAGGAUAUGGGACUUCAAAUGUUUUAAAAUUCCCGACAUUAGAUGUUUAUGCUUUGCAUAUGCAAGUCUUCUCUUCUGAAUCCUAGGCUGAAAGACCUGCAAUGGUGUUGAUUGGAAAAACGCAAAGAAGCUCAGACAACAAAGGAUUUGGUUACUGAAAAAAUAGACAUCUUUCAACAAGAAGCAACAAGGGAAUGUAUAUAAAUCCAAGUAGAUGAACAUAUACCUGAUAAAGGCAAUAUGAAAGCAAUAAAGAAAGAGAGACAAUGAGUGAAAUCAAGACUGUUAAUCGAGCUUGCGAAGUUGUAUGGAGAACUUGUGAUAUUUGGACUAUAAUGAAUGGAAUAACAGAUAUAACCAUGAUCCGAGCCGCAUAGCUGGCCCAGAUAUCAGUACUAACGCCUGAACCUGAAAAGACCAGAAAACACACACACACACACACAUUAUGUACCAGGAUCAUUAUCAGAAAAUUUUGUAUUAACCCCUGUAAUUCUGAAGUCUUGUUUAAUUACUCUUUCAAUUGAAAAGUUCAUCCAGUAAAUAGUCCAUGACUGAUCAAUAAAUGACCAAAUGCAGAGGUUUAUAAAUAAAUGAAGUUGAGGGAAUUACCAGUUAAGCUGAAUCCUCUGGUGUCUUUCAAAUCAGUAGCCACUGAAUUUUCAAUGUCACACUUGCCAACUAUGAUGCAAGAUCCCCAUAGUAUUGUCAGAAGCAUAACAGUUGAUCCAGCUAGCAAGCCCAUACCAAUUGAGACCUGACUUUGAGCUGUUUCUUUGCUUCCAGAUAGCCCAGAUGCUUCAGAAACACAAAAGUUUCACAACAAAAAAGUCAAUAGAAGUAUGAUUAAUUAGACUACAUAAUGAUAGUCAUCAACUGUGUGCAAACACGUUGUUGAAUUUAUUGAAUAGUAUGAAGAAAGUCUAUGAAAAUUAACAAUUGGCAAUAACAAUUGUGAAUUAACCGAAAAACUUGGACUUGGGGUAGCAGCUAUUUUGGAUCUGUUUUUGUUUUAGUUCCAGUUAAGUUUGCCCUCAGAUGGAUCAUUGAGGCUUUCAUCAAUAUCCACACUAUUUCAUGCCAUUUGGCCAUUUGUAAACAACUGAUUUUUUCCUACUAAUACUAUUAGCUUUAUUUGGUUGCAUAGAAUUGGAAUCCAAUUCCCCUGAACCCCACAAUCCAAAAAUAAACAACUGAAUAAAAGAAAAUAGAAGGAAAACCCAUGGUAAAAACAAGGAUUUGAAUUCCAAAUUGUCCAAAUCUGCAGAACCAAGAACAACCCAAAUCUUCCAAAAAUCUAGGAGAUGUGUAGCCCUUAAUCCUAGCUGAUAUCAUUGUAGGCAACUUGAAUCAGUUUUGGAAAAAAAAAUUCAUCUAUCACAUGUGACCAGUCCAUUUUGUGCAUUAAGACUUACAGAGGGUAGAUAUUUAUAUAGUAAGAAAUCUAAUAUUCCCAUUGUAUGUAUUUGCUUACUAUAAUAAUUGCACCCAUCGGAAAUCUCGGAUCUGAUAAUGGAGUUAGUAAGGUUGAACUUUCUUUGUUGGCAAUAAUAAUAAAAGAGAUAAGCACAUGUCCAUGGAAUACUUUUCAUACAUAUGUUUUUCUUGACAACUUGGAACUUAUGUCAAUGGUAUUAGGUAUAGAAAAGUUGCAGAAAGAGAGCAAGUGGGAUUAAUAUAUAUUAAUCUUGGGCCCUCUUGCCAUGGUUCCAAAAAUCAGAACUCAAGUUAGACAAGGUACCCAAAUUGAAUUGAGAAAAAACAAUGUUUACAAUUCAACCUAUUGGUCAAGAACACAGACCAGAAUGAAGAGAAAAGCAAAUGAGAUCAGUUUUAUCAAUUUGGGUGGGAAAAGUGAAUGAUGGAUCAAAACGGUAUGAUGGAUUUCAAGCUUACCAAGGAUGAUAACAGCAUCAGGAAAAGCACUGAGCACAGGCAGGAAAAGCCCACCAAUAAUUCCAGGACCAAGAAUUCCCAGCAGAAUCUCACUUCCAUCAGACAAAAACUUGGCUGCAAUAAACAUCAAGUAACCAUACACAAGGAUUAGGAAGAUGUUUCCCAGCACAGUGGUCGUGCAUGGCAGGAAUCCAUAUGUCUGGUCACAGCUAUCUGAUGAAGCCCAAUUCUUAAAAACAAUAAAUGCUGAUUGCUGAACCUCUCCAACUCCAUCAGAGACCAGACCAUAGGCAGAGUUAUCUGCGACCCCCUGACCCUUUCCGCCAUUGAUCAGCAUCAUGAGAAAGAGAAAGGCUAGAAGAAAGAGAGCAUGCUUCUUUGCCAUGGCUGAGCUUGGCUUUGUGAUCAGAAGCUAAUAUGUUAGGUGUCUUCUGGUUCUUUUCCACAUUGCCUUAAAACAUGCCUCAUACUUGGAGAACUUGUAGGUGAGGAAGAACAGGUGGUAUUGGGAAAUUUAAAAUGGGAGGCUUGAGUCAAGUCAAUGGAAGAGGUUUUACAGAUAUGGGGAAAAAAAAAAUCAAUAGAGAAGAACAAAAAAUCCUAGGUAUGGUAUCACAUCAUGGGAUUUUUAUAAGAGUACAGCAGUUUCAAAAAAUAAUUUCUAAAUUAUCGUAGUAGAAAAAAUAAUUCCAAAUCUACCAUAGUUUUGUCCAAAUAGGAAAGAGAAAAUAACUUGUAAGUGAAAAAUCGUCUCCGAUUUUCAAAAAAUAAAAAAUAAAAAUAAAACAAAGUGAGAAAUUGUCUCUUAAAGAGACGAUUUCCACACAAAAGUGAAAAAUGGGAAAUCGUCUCUUCAAAAGACGAUUUCCAUGUGAGAAAUUCUCACUUCAAAAAAAAAAAAAAAUCUUCAAAAAUCCAUUUUUUCAUUCUUUAUUUUAUUUAUACAAUAAUACAAUUAUUGUAAAUAUAUAUUAUGAAAUUAAUUAAUUUUAUUUACUAAAUUUAAUAUAUAAAUAAUAUACUAAAUUUAAUAUAAGAUAAAUAAUUUAUUAUUUUUUUCUCUUACUUUGGAAUUAAAAAAAAAUUAUUAUCAAUUAUGUGAAAAAUGAGUUUUAAAAACAAUUGUUAUUAAUUUAUUAAAUAAUUAUUUAGUAUAUUAUUUAAAGAAACCCAAGUAGAAACCGUUUCUUCAAGAGACGAUUUUCACACCACCUUUAAAAGCGAGAAAUUCUCACUUUAAACAAAAAAAAAAAAAAAACCCUUCAAAAAUCCAUUUUUUCUUCUUACUAAAUAACAUACUAAAUUUACUAUGGUUUUUUUUUUUUUUGAAGUGAGAAAUUCUCACUUUAAAAGGUGGUGUGGAAUCGUCUCUUCAAGAGACGAUUCCCACUUGGGAUUUUUUUAAAUAAUAUACUAAAUAAUUAUUUAAUAAAUUAAUAACAAUUGUUUUUAAAAUUCAUUUUUCACAUAAAUUAAUAAUAGUUUUUUUUUUAAUUCCAAAGUAAGAGAAAAAAUAAUAGAUUAUUUAUCUUAUAUUAAAUUUAGUAAAUAAAAUUAUAAUAUAUAUUUAUAAUAAUUGUAUUAUUGUAUAAAUAGAAUAAAGAAUGAAAAAUGGAUUUUUGAAGGCUUUUUUUUUUUUUUUUUUGAAGUGAGAAUUUAUCACAUAUAUAUUCUUGAAGAGACAAUUUUUCACUUGCAAUUUAUUUUUUCUUUCCUAUUUGGACAAAACUACUGUAAAUUUGGAAUUAUUUUUCCUAUUACGAUAAUUUAGAAAUUAUUUUUUAAAACUACCGUACUCUUAUAAAAAAAUCCUCACAUCAUGGUGAAUGAGUUAAUUACAUACCAAUGUAUCAUACCAUAUCAAAUCUAUAGUACCAUUUGUCAUAUUGUUGUUUAGCCCAGAUUUCAUGUGCCUUUUUUGUUAUUCUUUUAUUUUUAUAAAAUUAUAUGUUCAUGAAAUAAUGACUAAGAAAUAGAGAGGGGGUGUUUUCAAAUUUAGGGCAUUGUUUAGCUGUACUGAAAUAAAUUUGAUACUAUCUAUUUAAAACUCAAAGUCAAUUAGUAACUAGUACAAUAUCAAUUAGGAGCGAUUUCAUGUAAUUCUAAGUUGUUAAUUAACAUAUGUGUGAUUUUAUUUUUUUUAGAAGCAUGACAUUGUUGAGCUUUAGUCGAGGUAAACUUGAUAUCAGAUUUUGAUUAAGAUUAAUCGUGUUUAUAUCACGUUAACCCCCUUUGUAGGGACCUCUCCCCCUGGGAAACACGUGGCACGCAGCUCAUGGUGACGCGUGGCACGUGUUAUCAGCCGAACCAUCAUCAUCCGGAUUCCCCUAAGGAUAUGCAUGGUGCAGUUAUCCUAUCCGGACCGCCUCAAGGAAAGGCAAACGACGUUUCAGCUUCUCCUAUCCAAGGAAGAGCAAACGACGCUGGCAGAGCGUAGACAUCCGGAUAGUCCCCACAACACAUCCGGAUAAUCAGCAUGAGCCAUCCGGAUAUAAAUCGUCUGGAUGGUCAAUUAAAGUAGCGUAGACAUCCGGAUAGUCCCCACAACACAUCCGGAUAAUCAGCAUGAGCCAUCCGGAUAUAAAUCGUCUGGGUGGUCAAUUAAAGUAAAGUGAGUCUUACACGCAAUCACAACAAGCAGCCAUGGCCCACAUCUUGUCACCUGCAGAGUGAAAAGACAAGAUGAAGUGAUAGCAAGUCACUUCCCACGAUCAUUCUACAUGAUCACCUUCCCACAAUCUCUGACAGCCGCAUCACCUACCAUAGUUUCUGACAGUCGUUCGUAGGGUGAUAAUGCUCCUACUAACACCUAUUGUCAUCAUCACAACAUAAAAUAUCUCCUCACCAUUAAUGAGAGGAACAGUACCCCUGAAGCUGUAUAUAUAUGCCUUCGCACGAAGAAAAAAGGGAUCCCCCUGGUAACCUCUUGAUACCUAGUAAAAGGCCAACUAAUUUAUACAUCUCUCUCUCACCAUGGCUAACAAAACCAUCGGAGGGUGCGUCCGGACACCUUGUCCGGAUGCCUUUUGCAGGUGCAACCGCUGAAUCAAGAACCCCUUGUGUGUUGAGAAUCACGUGUCCAUCCAUAUAGUAGCAACGUGGACCACCGGAUACGCGAGGCGACAACACCCUUAACCUAUUCUUGAUUGAAUCCUUUUAAUUCAGACACAACUCACGGAUUUAAUUCAUCGUGUCUGUUUUAACAUAAUUAUAACUCAACCAAUAAUAUAGUAGUACUAUGAUUCAACCCAUAUAUCACCCACUUAUUCUUAUAUAUGGUAAUAAAUUUUAAGAUUAGAAAUAAGGUUGUUAUUAAUAAGUUAUAUUAAUUUUAUUAUUUUUUAGAAACCAUUUAAAAAAAAUAAAUUAUUUUACAAUUUAUCCAAAUUUAGAGUUUGAAUGAGUUGCAUGAGUCAAAAUCAUAUUAAUUGUAUCAUACUUAUAUUUGGAUUAUUAGUUUUGUAUCAAGCUAAUAUAGUUUAAUUUAACUUUGUCAAAUAAUUUGUCCUAUCAUAUUACCUAUGUAAUAAAUAAUUCAUAUUUGUGUUAAAAAAAACUAAUAUUAUUAUUAACUGAAUUAAUUAAAAAAAACCUUUAAUAUGAUAUAAAAUUUGCAACAUGACUUAGAGUUUGUUUAAUAGUAUUUUAAAAAAAUAUUUUAACAUAAAAAAUAAACUAUUUUUGGAGAAAAAUCAUAUAGUUUUCAAAAAUUAAAAAUAUUUUUUAAAAAAUUAAAAAAAUCACUUGUAAUAUUUUAUAGAUGAUGCACCCAAAAGCACUUCUAAAUAAGGCAUUUUAACUAAAAACACCUCAGAUAUAAAUGUUUUCAAAGACACCCUUAAUUACCAUUCUUCGUAAUAAUGCCAAGUUUUGUAAGAAGGCAUGAAUUUAAAUAUUUCUUCUUAUUUAUUUAUUUUCCUAUUUAUUAAUGAAACUUACAUGUGAGCCAAAAAUAAAGGGCACAUGGGAUAGUGUUUUACUAUAUAACUCUGAUACAAAUAAUAAUAAUUGUGUCAAAAAUAUAAACUUAAAUACUACUUAAUUAUUAAACAUAUAACACAUCGUAUAUCUUAUUUAACCCAUUUAAUAAUCAAGUUAUUCUAUUUAAUAAUUAGGUUGGGUUAGGUCUUAUAAAUGUCUACAUGAUUAAUGCCUCAACUAAAUAUGUUUAUGAUUUAUUAGACUUAUUUAUUUAAAAAAAAUCAAAUAUAGGUGAAAUAAUUUAAAAAUAUAAUUAAGUUAAUAAUAAAAUUAUUAGACGGAUCAAUUCUCGUAAUAUGGAGGUUGAUCUAAAAAUUACUUAUUUAUUAAAGGAGUGAUGUAAAUUAAUUUGAAUUUGAUUUAAACUCAUUUAUAUUCAAUUUAAAUUCACGAAAAACAUUGAUGUUAAGCUUUGUGACCCCUAAUCAAUAGAUUAAGGAGGAAAAUUAAUACCAAUAAAUGACAUAACAAAAUAAAAAUAAUAGGAAGUUAGAUAUGGUAGAUGGUACAAUGAAAGUGGAAAUUGGAAACAAAAAUUGUAAAUUGACUAUCUUGACCCUCCUACAAAAAAAGUAGAGAUACUAGAAAUAGGAAGGCGAAUCGCUGGUAAGCUCUUGCUCACUUCCUUUGAUGGUGAAUUUCAGAGUGGGGAAACCAACGGUAAAACCAUCACGCCAAUCACCAUGUCCUCUCCUUCCGAUUCUCAGGGUCCGGAUGAGGCUCUCAUCACCCAAAACCCUAGCAUGCCCACUGAACAACAUCCACAAUCUCAAGCUCAAACUCUCUCCCUUAAAACCCUAACCCUAGAAAUCGCCGAUCCCCAAAACCCUGAACCAAGUGAACAGUCACACCCUCAACACCAGCAAAUCUCUAUCGAAGAUGAUCAAGAUGACCCAGAAGGUACGUCUCCUUCUUCUUCAUCAAUUUCCGUUUCACACAUCACCAUCACCAUCCCCGACUCAUCUGCCCCUCAAAAUCCUCCUCUCACCACGCCCACCAAUGCUCGCCGUUCACUCAAGCGCAAGAAGGGAGCUCAGUACAAGCGACGUACUGCUCUUGAAAAAUUUCAGCAGCAGAAACUUGGUGCACUUAUUAAAACCCUAAAUCCGAUCCCCUUUGUGCCUAAUAAAACCCUAGAUUUUUCCAAGCAUGAGUCGCUGCUUAAUCGUCUUGGGUUGUGGGAAUUUGUUCAUAUUGAGUUUGAUCAGACCAUUCGCACAGAUCUUCUUGCGCAGUUGAUUGCAAAUUAUACGCAGAGUGCGAGAGGCAGUGUUGUUAAUGGGGCUAAGAUUAAGGUCAAUAGGGCUGAUCUUGCUCGGGCGAUGAAGUUGCCGGUGAAGAAGGAGAAGGUCAGUGCAUCGUCGGAGGGUGUCUUGGAGGCUCCGGCGGCAGAGGAGGCGAUUGGAUUUAUUGAGGAUUUGGUCUCAAAUUGGGUGCUUUUACACGAGGAUACGUGGAUGAUGCCAACGGAGGUUUUGACUUGGACGCGGGUGAUUAAGGAGGGGCACCCGGAGAAGGUAGAUUGGGCGGGGUUGAUAUGGUUUAUGGUGGAGAAGGAGUUGCAUGCAGAAGAAUUGGUGAAUUGUUACUAUGCUUCACAUUUGCAGUGUUUGAUAAGAGCACAAAAGGAGGAGCUUUUGAGGGCAGAGGCUAAGGAUGAGGUUGAAGUGAAGGAGGAAGAGGAUGGUGGUGAUGUGGAGAUGGGUGAGGAGGGUGAUUUUCCAGAUCGUGAAGCAGAUGAUGAUGAUGUGAAGAUGGAUGAAGAUGUGAAGUUGGAUGAAGAGGUGAAGAUGGAUGAAAAUGUGAAAAUGGAUGAAGAUGUGAAGAUGGAUAAAGAUGUGAAGGUGGAUGAGUAUGUGAAGGUGGGUGAGGAUGUGAAGGUGGAUGAAGAUGUGAAGGUGGAUGAAGAUGUGAAGGUGGAUGAGGAUGUGAAGGUGGAUGAAGAUGUGAAGGUGGAUGAAGAUUUGAAGGUGGAUGAAGAUUUGAAGACUGUGGGCUUGGAUGAUAUUCAAGGACAUGAAUUGGAGGAACAUAAUAUUCAAUUACGUUUGGGUCAAGAUGGCGUUGGGAAGGAAAAGGUAAAGGAUGAGGACAAUAUGGAUUUUGAUGAGUGCAAGGAGCAAGAACCUGGGCAGUGGUUCUUGGACGGGAAGAAUGAUGAUAAUGAACCAUACUUGCGUCCUUGUACUCUUGAUGACCUUAAGGGUUCAGUUUGUGAUGAGGAAAGGAAACAAGAAGAAGAUGAAGAAGAAGAAGGAGAAGAGGAAGAAGAGCAGGAUCGUGGUUUUAAUCUUUCACCAAAAUGUGGCAAUUUAGCUGGUCUAUCCUCGGAGAACCUUAUUCACGCAAUGGAAGCAUCACAAGUUCCUUUUAAUUCAUCAGUGCAGCUUCGUGAUCAUUCUUCCAUGGAGCUUCUCUCAUCAAGGGCUGAAGCAAAUAUGAUUCCAGGGGGUCCAUCCAUUUUCAGUAACUCUAGCAAGAGAGAUAUCAGCCAUGAACAUGAUAUUUCUCAUCAAUCUCUAAAUAGUAGUCAUAAGAGGUUGAGGAGUGACUUUGACAUGUGUAUGGAGCAAAUAGAGCAUUGGAUGGGAAAGGCCAAGAUGCUUCAUCAGGCAAAAGAACAAGCUUAUGCUGAAUCAAGUAUGAAUCAGCAAUUCUUAAUUGGUGAGCUGCAACAGCGAGACAACCUGAUUGAACUUUUGCAGAAAGCCAAGUUUGAGGAGUUUCAGAAAAGAGAAGUGGAAACAUACCGGCGGGAUCGUGAACUUUUUGUGAUGGGAAAUCUCUUAGAGAGCUAUAGGAAGGCUUUAAGAGAAACACAGCGGGCAUUUUCUGAAUAUAGAGCACACUGUCCACUUCCUGAUGAGCCACUUUACAAUGAUGUUGGUGAGACAGGGGGUGUUGUUCUGAGCACCAUGGAAUUGGAAAAACAACGUCGGAGGCAGGAAGAAGAAUAUAGGAUGAACUGUUUGCUGGUGGAACAAAAGAUUAAGGACUUUGAGGUUGUGUGGUUCAACAAAUUAGAAUUGCAUCUGAAUGUGGUUCAUAUGCUUGAUAGCAGGUUGAUGGAUGCUGAGAAGCAUGUAAAACUUCUCAAGGAAUCAUAUGCUAAACGGAAGGUUUCAGAAACAUCAGAACCUGCUCCAAAAGAAUGAUAAAUCGUCUAAAAGGUUUUUCCGUUUGGAAGUUAUCAAAAUGUCAGUGAAGGACAAAUCAUAAUUGUAAGUCCUCUUUAGAUUUUGGUGUAGCUUUUUGUAUCCUUAUAUAAUACAUGUGAUGCUGCAUUCAAAAUAUUGCUGAACUACAGACCAAUACGUAACUGUACUACUAACUGGAAAUUUGCUUUAUGGUCUCUGCUGAUCUUUUGUCUUUUAUCAGUCAUAUUUUUUUUCCUGGGCCAUAUUAUCAUAUACAUUUGAAACUGAAACCCAAGUGUGCCUUGGCCUCCUCUGUAUGUCUGUGGAUUAUGGUCAAUUUGUGGAUUCUAUUCGGAGUCCAUUUGGUCAUUGAUUGAUUGGAAUAUUAUGGAGAGCAAAUAUCUUUCAACUCUAUAUUCAGUUCUCUAAAAGCUAAUCCAAGUGUAUAGUACAGAUUCAGAUGGUGCAGGAAAUGGAUAUGCCAACAUGGAAAAUUCUGGAGAAGUACAUGGACAUGAGAGGGCACUAUCCACAAUGUUUUAAUAUAUAUACAUUUGCAUAAGUUAGGCUUGAAUUUCUUUUCCUUUGUUUUGAUCAUGUUUGUAAUUAGGGAAGCAUUACUCAUCCUUCUCUUGUUUAUUCCUUUUUAAUGGAAAUGUUUUUAUCUUUGAUCCAACAAAUAAAAAAUGAAAAAUCUUUGCAAAAGUUUGGUUAAGUUUGUUAAAGUUUUUUUAUGAUUUUUCUUUGAAACUAUAUUUUUUUUAUAUGCAAAGAAAAGAUUAAUUCUAUUAAAAGCGCUUAGCCAAAGAGUACACAAAAGUAUGCACAAUGUAUACAAAGAUGCUUAAAAGCUAAACAAAGCAAAGAGAGACACAAAAAACAAUAUUUUCUCCAUACUUAGAGCUCAAUCAACCAAUGAAGUCCAGUAUGGACAUUGAGUAAUAACCUAUAUAAACUCCUAUGCACCCCAAGAAAUUAUACAUAAAGAUUGUUUGUUGCUUGAUCCCCAUUUUCAAUAUUUUCAAAAGCUGUCCAAUUUCUCUCAUUCCAUAUUGUCCAAAAUAAGCACAAAGAAGUUGAUGUCUAAGCUUUCUUCCUCCUUUUUUCUGAUAAAGGAUACAAGCAACCCAAAAGGACACUUCUAACUAAGGAUUGCAUCACCCGCUUUAUACCAAAAAGGGCAUAAAUGAGUUCCUGCAAAAUGACUGCCUUUGAAACUAUACUCCUUUUUCUUAAGUGGAAUGUUGUUUCAUUUGCUAGCAUUCAACAAGGCUUCUGUUGUCCAAACCUUUGAAGCUCCUAAAGUCCUAAUAGCAAGGAAAAUGAUAAAACAUUUAUUUGAAUGUUAUGUAGAUUUCAGACUUUUGAACCCCCUAAAGUCCCUAAUAGUGAGUUCUUGUGCCAUUUGCUAUUUGGCUCUAGGUUCAUGCUGAGCAUUUUCUAACUUUUAAUAAUUGUUUUCCUUUCUUAUUCUGUAUUGAUGUUUUUCAUUUCAUCCAAUUCAGCCACAAUAGUAAAAAACUUAAAAUACAUUAUAGAAUCAUAUGAUCUCCUUGUGGACUUAAGGUGUGCCCCCUUUUUCUAGACACCUUCAAUUUGAAUUGUGGUGUGGCUAUCCAAAAAAAAAAAAUUAUAUAUACAUAGAUAAAUAGAUAGAUAGAUAGGUAUCAAACAAAGACAUUGAUCCUUUACUUAUGUACAUGCUAACCCAAGCUGAAAAAUUACAAAGGAAUGUAAGUUUUAUUUUUUGAUCAGUUUGCCCCUUAUUUUCAAAAGCUUUUUAAUUUCAUCCCUGCCAAAUUGUCCAAAAUAUGCAAAGGGGGGUGGUUUUCCACACAUUUUUCCUUUCCUUCCCUACAAAGAAACCAUGCCAACUAAACAAGAUAUCUUUCACCAAAGAAGGGAUCGUCCAAACUACAUCGAAUAAGGAGAACAAGAGAUGUCAUAGAAUCCUUGCUUUAGUGCAAUGAAGUAGAAUAUGGUCAAUAGACUCCCCCUCAAGUUUGCAAAGAAAUCAUCUAUUUGCUAUCAGUCGCCGUCUUUUGGAGAUUAUCUAAAGCCAACUUUUCCCCCAAUUGGCUUCCCCCCCAAAAAAAAGCUUACUUUGGAUGGGACCCAUGAAUUCCAGAUAAUGUUUGUUGGAAAGUGGAUUACCUUCCUCAUUUCCUAGACUGAAUAGAAAGGUUUGAUUGAAAUAGACCCUUUUUAGCAUCCUUCUAGAUCACCUUGUUAUUAUCUUCCCUUCUAAACGUCUUCAUUAGCAAGUGGCAGUGUGGAGAAAAAGGUCUCAACAAUGUCCAACUUGUAAUCAUUAAAGUGCUUGGUGAAACACAUAAUCCAAUGACCCCCCGCUCCUAAGUCUUCACAUAAAUUUGUUGCCCAGGCCUCCUUUGACAAACCUAACAUGGGCGCACGCACAUAUGCAUAGAUAUAGCGUACACACUCACUCACACACACACAUUAUAGAGAGCCCUUUCAUUUUGAAUUAAAGAAUUAAGAAUGAAUCAAAUCUCCCCAAGUAGGUUUGGAACCUACGACCAAUCUGUUAAUAGUUGACUACUCUGCCACUGAGCUACUGAGGAACAAAGAAAAGAUUAUAGGAAGUACUAGUUUUAGAAUCUAAUUGAACCAAAAGGGUGUGGCGUUUGGGUGUUUGCUCUUUCGAAGGAAAGAGAUUGCAACUGAGGUGGCCUUGAAGUUGGUUGUUUCUGAGAAAGGGCUUGUACAAAAGAUUUUGGGUGAGACUGGUUGGACUGUCAUUGCCCUUGUGGGGUAAGGACUUCUUCAAGAGAGUGGGUGAUACUUGUGGAGCUUUUGCAGCUAUGGAUGUGGAUAGCCAAGAGAUGCCAUUUACAAUGGACUAGAAUUCUAGUAAGCUCCAACAGGAGGGUCCCUAGUCCCUAUGAUCUUGCAUGUGGUGGUAGGGUUUUUAGUCUUCGUUGUUCAGUUAUGGUGGGAGAUCCCACCAUGGGAGUUGGUGUUUGUUUCGAAGGAGGGUUGUAGGGUAAUGGAGGUCAAGGAUGACAACGAGGGCAUAGUUUUAAAAGGUGUGCUUUAAGUGCACCUAGGCUCAAGGCACGACCACUCCCUAGUUAUAAUGCCUCUCUUGCCAAGACAUGUGCCUUAUUGAAGAGGCAUGCCUUAUCAACUUUGCUAUUCCUUUUUAAAUGCUAGUCUAGAAAUUUCUAGUUGUGUAUUGAAACUUAUAUAAUUUCAUUUUUUAUUUAUUAAAUGCUUCUUUUAAAUGUUUGGAAUCUUAAAUUUUUUAUUGAUUAGAUUAGAUUUGAAUCAUAUUUUAUAAGAUUGAUAUGCAUCCCAGGUCGCAUUUCACUUCACUUAGACACACACCUUGUGUUGCACCUUGUUCCUAAGCCAUAAGAGACUUUUGCGCCUUAGGUGCACCUUGCGCCUUUUAAAACUAUGGGUGAGGGAAGGGCACACACAGAGUGAAGUGGAGUUAGAGGUUGGGAAGCGUGCAAAAAGUUUGGGGCAGUCUAAGGUGCUUUUGCGUGCAACCCAAGUUGCUUUUACAUGUUGCCCAAGUUUCAGAUGGCGCAAUUUUUUCUAUCUACACUAGAGCUUUGGAGGCUAGUGGAUAGGUUCGGAGGAUAGUCUCUAAGCCUCCUUGUUUGGCUUGAGUUGGGCUGGUAGGCCAAGCAGGUUCAAGGCCUCUUUCUCCUAUAGCUUGAGUUGGAAGGCCUUGAGUGCUUUAGGCCUUGCUCUUUGUCUAUUGACCUAGACCAACCUGUGUACUUAUGUUGUGCUUCCUUUUGUUGAGUACUUGUUAAGCUCCUGUUAGAUUCAAUUAUUGUUUGCCUAUAAAAUGCAGCACAGAAUAUAGAGGAGAACAUGCAUAUUUUGACCCUUUUUUUGUGUAUUUUGAGAAAAUUAAUUUUAUAUUUCAUUUUUAUUUGAAGGAUUCUUUUACUACAAUGUGGGGAGAUGUUAUUACAUGGUUAAAAAAAGUGUUUAAAUUUUGUUUCUUUCUUCUGCCUCCCCUGAUAAAAAUCUUCCAUGGCAUGAUAUUUAUUUGUGAUCUCUGCAUUGAGGAAAGUUUGACCAUCACAUCUUUUCUUCCUUAUAUUUGUCAGUUCAUGGAGAAUUCUCUGUUGAAAAGUUGGAAAUUGGGAACAAGUUGUAGCAACACAUUGAGCAUGAUGUAACACACAAUGACAACUAUAACCUGAUGUCCUCAUAUUUGCUAUACCUUUGGGUGCAUUGUUUCUUACCAUCCAAUAUGCUGUAGUAGAAAGUGUUGACUGGCUAGCAUUUUGUUUCUUACUAUCCCGUAUGUUCAUGUUUGAACAAAAGUUAUUUGUUGGAGCCUGGUGUUGGUUUUACUAAUUUAUAUGUUAAUUUUAUGAAAAUUGAACAAUAAUAUAACUUCCAUUAAUAACCUCAUGUGAGUGUUAUUAUUACCUUCCAUUUCUUGCUUGGACUGGUGAAUUAUGAAAUAAGUGAUAAAAACCAAAAUAGUUUUUGUUUGUUGUGUUUUGUUUAAUCUACUGGAACAAUUUCCAGUUAUCUACAUAGUGGGGCCAAACUAGCUGUGGCUGAGUGUUUUUUGCAGGCUAAUAAUGGGUGAGACCCAGGAUAGACUCUGAGAGCACAAGCCCUUGAGGUAGAUUAGUGUGGUGGUCAAUAAAAGCUGUUAUGCAAUGUUGCUCUUAUGUUUAAACAAAACAAAUUCCAACCCCAUUUUCCCCUCCACCUCUCCCUCCCCUUGCAAAACUCAAUUAGGGAUCUCAGACUCUGUUCCUGUCACCAGUUCAAUCUGGGGUUUUAGCUUAUGCUGGAAUCUACUCAACAUUCAUUAUACUUGGAUUAUAUUUAUGCUAUAUAUAACCUUUAUUGUGGCCUGACCUGCUCUGUAAUUUAGUACUUGUGGGGCAAGAAAGGACUUUGAAUUUCUUUGAAUUUUUAUGAUGUUGGACAACCUAACUCUUCAUAGUUAUCUUAUGAGCAUGUGCCACUGGAGGAAAUUGGUAUUUGUUUAAGGACCUAGACAAUUUUGCAUAUGUCGAGCUACUCUUUGUUUAUAAGAUUUACCAUGAUGUAGCAUGUCAUCUGGGUCUUUGGAGAGUGUUUGAUCACUAUAUUAUGCCAUCAUGUGCCAGUGAUUUCAUUUUAGAAUAUUGUUCCCUCAAAGAGUUUUUCCUUCCAUCAUGCAGGUUAGCAUUAGUAUUUUAUGAAUCAGCCAUUCACCCCUUCUGUGCUGCCAAGCUUUCAAGUUAAUGGCCUUUUCGGCCUGCUGACCUCGCAGGGUUUUGGAGUGGUUGAUGAUAAUCAUGUCACAGCAAUUUGUGUUCCGAAUGGAAGAUGGAUGAGCAUACUUGCCACUCAGUUGAUCAUUGCUACUAGCAGAUUAAAUAUGUUGUAUAGACCUUGAAGUAGAAUUCUGUCUAGGAUGACCGACUUUAAUCUUAAAAAGGUUAUUUCUUAUAUAUUUUGUAUGUGCUUCUUCACCCUGCAGCAAUAUUUGUCUCCUUUUUUCCUCCAUUUCUAUCCUUAAAACGCAAGAAACAAGUUGUUUAAUGGUGGAGGUCCAAUAAAAAAAUAAAAAAAUAAAAUCAAUUUUAAUAUUAAAACAUCUGGCAUGAGCAAGAAAGAAAGAAUCAUACAUAAACUGAUAAAGAAUUUCAAAACUCAUCCCCUAGAUGUUCUUGGGAUCCAUAACAAAUACAGUUGGCUGUCAAAAUUCUUACUUUCUUUUUCCCACACCUCGGCAAUCAAAUGAGGAUGAACUUUCCUGGAAAUUGACCCUUAGAAUAGAUCUAGAAAGCACAGGGAGCAAAAAAAAAGCAAUUUUUUUGGUUUUUCUUGGGGGUUUUGCAUGGAUUUUCUCGGAAACCAAACAAGGAUGAAUUUUCCUGGAAAUUGAAUGGGGGCGGUGGCGAGAACAGAUCCAGAAAGCGUAUGGAACAAAAAAAAAGCAUUUUUUUUUGUUUUCCUUGGGGGUUUUGCAUGGAUUUUCUCAGAAACCAAACGAGGAUGAAUUUUCCUAGAAAUCAAAUGGGGGCGGUGGCGCGGUGGCGAGAACAGAUCCAGAAAGCGCAGGGAGCAAAGAAAAAGCAAUUUUUUUUUGUUUUCCUUAGGGGUUUUGCAUGGAUUUUCUCGAAAACCAAACGAGGAUUAAUUUUCUCACAAAUCGAAUGGGGGAUGGAGACCCCUAGAACAAAUCCAGAAAGCACAGGGAGUAAAAAAAAAAAAAAGCAUUUUUUUUUUUUUUGUUUUCCUAGGGGGUUUUGCAUGAAUUUUCUCAGAAAUCAAAUGAGGAUGAAUUUUCCCGGAAAUCGAAUGGGAGAUGGAUUUUCUUGGGGAUCAAACGGGGAUUUUUUUUUGCUUUCAUUGCCGCCGCCCACAUUCGAUUAUUGGGAAAAUUCAUCCUCUGUUGAUUGCCGACAAAAUCCAUGCAAAACCCCCAAAGAAAACCAAAAAAAAUUGUUUUUUUUGCUUGCUGACAGGAAAACCUAAAGGAUAAUUUUGGAAAUAAAAAUUUGAACAGUAAAUAGUACAUGAAACCUAUAAUAUUUUUUUUAUUACUCUCAUAUUUAUAUGGAUUUCCAAAAUCAGAGCAUAUAAACACAACUUUCCCAAAAUAAAGCACGAGGUAGCAGAAAUAAAUUGUUCUGGGCUUUAUUUCCUGUUGGCCCAUUUAGGAAAGGAGGAACGCAUAAAAAAUGUGAUUGUCGGGUUGAGGGUAGCUGGGUAGGCGUUGUUGGGCCUUCGGAGUCCCGGCCCGUUAUCCUUCCACCGAAGAGAGCGGGAAGUGAACGCUGCUCUGUGAAACCAGCCUCACGCGGUGCCCUCCAUCUCUAAGAACCCUAAGACCCAGACUUUCGCCCGGAUCGCGGGGCUCAACUCCCCACUUGGAAUGGGCGAACCAGGCCAAUUACCCCAUCAGGCCUUACCAACCCAGCCAGACCAAUCUCCAACCACACUGAUGCCCUCGCUUGAGUCACAAACUCUCGCUACUGAGUUCGGCAGAUGGAUGUCUACACCACAGAUAUUUUAAAGACUUCUUUUCUUGUAUUUCUUUUCGAUGUGGGACGACCUAGAGAAUUCCUGACUCAUUCUUCACCACACAUAUAGGGAAAGCCAAAAAGGGAUAUGAUAUGCUGCCUUUCUUGAACUUUGCUUACAAGAUCGAAAGUAAUUUUCCUUCGACAUGUGUGGCCUGUAUCAAAGAAUAGGAAAAUUAACGCAUAAUUAACGCAUCCUCCAUCCCCUCGAUGCAAAGGUGUUUUGGUAGUCAAAACCUACUUCUCCAAUACUGGGAAAAUAUGUUUGGCUUCAUUAUUCUCAUAAUUCACUUGGGGAAAACCAGGGAUCCAUUUUUACCUUCCAGGCCUAUGAAUGCUUUGUGCUUCUUUCAAUGGGGACAAGAACAACCAUUAGGAAUUUAUCACACAACAAUGCUCCUAAGUCCUAUGGUGGCCUCUAUCAGUGGGCAACAGUUGCUAGAUUUUGAGGGCUUAACCAGUAGCUUCAAUUUUAAGGAGGAGACAUUUUGCUCCACAACUCAUUUACUGGUCCUUAUUGUGGUUGGGAAGAUUUACAGAGAUCUGAGGUCUUGGUCAGAAGAAUUGGGCUUCUUCUUUGUGAAGGGAGUAACUCUAACAAAUCCUCGACUACAUUUAGAAUUUGUGAAUAUCUGAGAUAUAAUCAUCUGGGAUGAUCCAAUUGCUUGUGGAAUUACCCCUUUAGUAGGGCUGUUUGUGGAAUUAGUCAUUUCAUCAAGUUAUACAGUCUGUCUCACCAGCUUACUCAACCAGGAAUGCCUUCAUCCACAGACAAAGUUGAAACGCUGAAGAGCGCGGAGAACACGAGUUGGGUCAUUUUUUAUGUUUUCACCCAAAAAACAUCCAGAGAGUGUAUUGAGGGGAUGACUAUCCUCGAGCCAGUCAAGCUCUCAUGAGCAGGGAGAUACUGGUGGACUUUCUUGAAGUUCCAUGUGUUAAAAAUGUUCCUUGCCAAAUAUUGCAAUGAUUUUGGUACUUCGAACAGUCAUUCAAAUUUGGAGGUUUCGGAUGUGAAGCAAAUUCAGGCUCUUCCAUUCAUCUCUGUAUGGUUUUUCCAAGGGUGCUCUGGGGCUUCAUUUCUAAAAACAUCUGAGUGAAAAUUUGUGAGAGCUAGAGAAUCCAGUGGUCUCCUCUGCCUGCAUGAAGAUAUAUAGUUUGAGGAUGGAUGACUUCAGGGGGGUUCUCUUUUGUGAUCAUCCAUUUUUUUCUCUAAAUAUUCCACCAUGUUUACUAAACCUGAGCUGUUUUGAGGUCCAGUCCACCAUUUUUGUCACCACAACAAUUCUUCUCGGGGCUCAUUUAAUUCAUCAUACAUAACUGCUAUAAGAGAGACUAACUCAUACAAACAAAGGUAGUUGGGAGUCUCCUGAUCACAACCCUUCAACAAUGAAGGUUAGACAACCGACUGUUUUCUCUAUUAUACCAAAAUACUAAACCUUUUUAUAUAACAACUUUUGUUAAGAAAAAUAAGAAUAAGUUUCACUACAACUUUUAUAGUACUUUGGGUUAGUCUGGACACAUGAAAAUUAUCAAAACUAAGCCAAAGUGGAUUACUUGUUACCUAUAUUCUAAAAUGAAAUUAUCAAAUACUCGAAAGGUUUUUUACUUUAUCAAUUCAAGACUUGGGGUUUCACAAUUCAACUCUAGGAAUAGAACCCUAGAGUGAACAACAGUUUUUCCUUUAUGAUGAUCUUAAGGUUUUAAUGUAUAAUGAUGGAUUGAAAUCAAUCUAAGUUCUAUAACUUAGAGUUGCAUUCCAACCCUAAUUUAUGGUUCAAUCCCGAUACCUAAUUAUCAUCAAAUAAAUGAAACUUUACUACUCUUGUAGAUUUAUUGUACAAUAAGUGAUGGGAGAAAUAACAUAAAUAACUAUGGAUCAAGAAUUUCUAGUUUCCAUAUUGAUAUACUGUAUCAUCUCCUAAUUCAAAUUAUCUUGAAGAGUUUCUUGUUUUCAACAUUUUUACCUUAAAUUUUUAAUAAUGUCAUUACUAAUUCCUUUUUCCUAUUGUUUCUCUUUUAGAUUUCUAACCUUAGAUUUUCAUAUUUCACAUCCCAAUAUGGCAUUUACCCUCUCAUAGUGGUAUUGUCACUCACACAAUUUAUAGAAAAAGUUAAAACAUUAUUCUUGAAUUGAAGCAAACCUCAAGAAUCUUCAAUGCUCUCUCCAAAACAGUAAAGAAUGAACUAAAAUCCCUACUAACCCUAAAAUGUAAAAAGACAAACUAGUCACACGGCAUACCCAUAUAUAUUGGCCAAAAUAUUAAAAAAAAAAAAAAAAAAAAAAAAGUCCAUGAAUUUUCUAAAAAUAACAUUAUAUCUUUGAAUAUUGAAUCAUUCAAAUUCUUCUUGGGUAUAUAGUAGAUGCUUGGGAGGUCUAAAGAUUGAAAAGUUUGUAGGAUUUGAAGGACAUAUUUCAGAGCUGGGGGAGCCAAGUUCGGUUUCAAAACGUGGAGUUCAAAAUAUUAGAACUAAAAAUUUGGAGGAGUUUGAUGGAUUCCAUAUUGAUAUCAUUUAAUUCCUAUUGGCGGCCCAUUUGAAAAAGAGCAGAAAAAAUGUGGUUGUCGGGUUGAGAGAGGCUGGGUAGGCGUUGUUGGGCUUGAAGGGUCCCGGCCCGUUGUCCAUCCACCGAAGAGAGCGGGAGGUGAACGCUGCUCUGUGAAACCAGCCUCACGCGGUGCCCUCCAGCUUUAGGAACCCAAACACCCAGGCCUUAGCCCGAAUAUCGGGGCACAACUCCCUACUUGGAACGGGCAAGCCAGUUAAAUCACCCCACCAAGCCCUACCAACCCAGCCAGGCCAAUCUCCAACCACACUAACGCCCUCGCUUGAGUUACAAGCUCGCGCUGCUGAGCUCGGCGAUUUGUUGUUUACACCACAGGUAUUUUAAAGAAUUGUUUUCUUAUGUUUAUUUCCGAUGUGGGACGGCUUAGAGAAUUGCUGACUCAUUCACUCAAUCCUCGCCACAAUAGGGAAGCCAAAAGAGGGUAAGAUAUGCUACCUUUCUUUAACUUUGCUUACAAGAUUGAAAGCAAUUAUCUUCCCACAUGUGUGGUCUAUAUUAGGAAUUAUGGGGAAGAGUCUGUGUGGAUUGGCGUCAUUCCUCUUGAUUAAAGCAUUCUCCAUCCCCUCGAUGCAAGGUGUUUUGGUAAUCAAAACAUACUUCUCCAAUACUGG
Molecule: long non-coding RNA, 39848 nt
Filed under: Vitis vinifera (wine grape)
Lineage: Eukaryota; Viridiplantae; Streptophyta; Magnoliopsida; Vitales; Vitaceae
Description: long non-coding RNA (VVIN_LNC003679)
Source: RNAcentral